RNAcentral lists this ribosomal RNA (406 nucleotides) under uncultured bacterium. RNAcentral's name for it is "partial 16S ribosomal RNA". It matches the Rfam family "Bacterial small subunit ribosomal RNA", at positions 30 to 526 of the family's 1533-position model. The record is from RNAcentral.
AUUGAACGCUGGCGGCAGGCCUAACACAUGCAAGUCGAACGAGUGGCGGACGGGUGAGUAAUGUCUGGGAAACUGCCUGAUGGAGGGGGAUAACUACUGGAAACGGUAGCUAAUACCGCAUACUGUGAGAUGGACCUGCGUUGUAUUAGCUAGUUGGUGAGGUAAAGGCUCACCAAGGCGACGAUACAUAGCCGACCUGAGAGGGUGAUCGGCCACACUGGGACUGAGACACGGCCCAGACUCCUACGGGAGGCAGCAGUAGGGAAUCUUCGGCAAUGGACGGAAGCCUGAUCCAGCCAUGCCGCGUGUGUGAAGAAGGUCUUCGGAUUGUAAAGCACUUUAAGGUGGGAGGCGUUACCAACAGAAUAAGCACCGGCUAACUUCGUGCCAGCAGCCGCGGUAAUUC